Non-coding RNA from Pelobates cultripes (western spadefoot toad), 168 nucleotides. The record is from the annotation of a GenBank genome assembly. Lineage: Eukaryota; Metazoa; Chordata; Amphibia; Anura; Pelobatidae.
GCAGACACAUUCCAGCCAAUCAGCAGCAGACCCUCCCUCCCAGACCCUCCCACCUCCUGGACAGCAUCCAUUUUACAUUCAUUGUGAAGCUGCAUUCUUAGUGAGCUGUCCAGGAGGUGGGAGAGUCUGGGAGGGAGGGUCUGCUGCUGAUUGGCUGGAAUGUGUCUG